Molecule: long non-coding RNA, 1243 nt
Organism: Podarcis raffonei (Aeolian wall lizard)
Lineage: Eukaryota; Metazoa; Chordata; Lepidosauria; Squamata; Lacertidae
Exons: 3
Source: RefSeq, a predicted model, not a curated record
GCGUGUUGCCCUGGCAACGAGGCUUCGGCCUGCGGUCCUGUCAAGCGAGGACCACAGGGAGCGAGAGGGAGCCUUCCUUGCCUAGGCAGGAGUUGAUAGAAAGUUGAGGGGGUGCGAGGGUUGGCUGAAUUCCCCCCUACCAAGACAAGCAAAAACUCCCUGCAAGUAGAAGAUGAGCACACAGGCAAUAAAACACUUCUUAGGCUCUGACUGUGCCCUCGUGUCAUCCUAACUGGAGAUGGAACCCUGGCUGUGCUGUGUGCCCCAGCCUGGCACAGAAUUGAAUACGCUGGCAAACAUAACAAGGAAGAGCUGUCCCGAUUCCUGAGUUUUCCACUAGAGCCAGUUUUCCUUGAAGAUUCAGUGAGCUCAAGUCUCUCUCAAUACGUUUUUGGAGCCUUGUAAAGAAUGGGGAGACAAAUGAAGAUUACCAGUUGAUAGGAAUCACAGGUGGGCAGAUUCCUGUUGCGUUCAUGCCCAGUGUGCAGGCUUCCCACUGGCAUCUAAUCAACUACAGGAAGAACAGAAUGCUGGGCUGGAUGGGCCAUAGGCCUGAUCCAGGAAUCUUGUCUUACGUUCCUAUGAAGACCACCUCAGAACCUGCUCCAGUUGGACUUUUCCCCACACCACAGGGCUAUCUACAGUCAGGGCUUGUAAACACUACAGCUUUACAGCACACAUGAAACAUAUUUCCCCCCUCCAAUAAUUCUCCAUGCUGUAGUUACAAUUCCCAGCAACCCUUAACAAUACAAGCAGCAACCAUUUUGCAUGUGCCCAACUGAUGCACAACCACUGACACCUGGGUCCUUUUGGAUCUGGAAGAGGGCAGAAUGGGAGCAUAACAGGGCGAAGUGGAUUUAUGUGUCGUCCACCAAUGCACAGGGAAGCCAGGAACGAACUCCCCCGUGCAAAAUGGUUGCCACCUGUGCUUCAAAGACCACCUCUCCCUACAUCUGGACCCUGUGAUCAUAAUCCGAGGCCUUUCUUUGUGUGUCCCCUGCAUGAGAGGUCCGAAAGGCAGCAACACAAGAGCGGGCCUUUUCUGCAGUUGCUCCCUACUUAUAGGAUACUCUCCCCAGGAAAGCUUGCCUGGCACCUUCAUUACAUACCUUUAGGCGGCAAGCAAAUACAUUUCUCUAUAACCAGGCCUUGGGCUGAUAACAUUCUAUGGCCUUUUAAAAGUGUUUUUUUAAUGUAUUUUGUGUUUUAAUUUUGUGUUUUUAUGUUGUGAACCACCUUGUGA